This 255-nucleotide ribosomal RNA is filed under the name uncultured bacterium. RNAcentral's name for it is "partial 16S ribosomal RNA". It matches the Rfam family "Bacterial small subunit ribosomal RNA", at positions 524 to 776 of the family's 1533-position model. The record is from RNAcentral.
UACGGGGGUGAGCAAGCGUUGUUCGGAUUUACUGGGCGUAAAGAGCGCGCAGGCGGUCGUUCAAGUCGCGUGUGAAAGCCCCCCGGCUCAACUGGGGAGGGUCACGCGAUACUGAUCGACUGGAAGGCAGGAGAGGGUAGUGGAAUUCCCGGUGUAGUGGUGAAAUGCGUAGAUAUCAGGAGGAACACCGGUGGCGAAGGCGGGUCUCUGGGCCGAUACUGACGCUGAGGAGCGAAAGCGUGGGGAGCGAACAGG